Molecule: ribosomal RNA, 253 nt
Filed under: uncultured bacterium
Lineage: Bacteria
Description: partial 16S ribosomal RNA
Rfam family: Bacterial small subunit ribosomal RNA
Source: RNAcentral
UACAGAGGGUGCAAGCGUUGCUCGGAAUCAUUGGGCGUAAAGGGUAGGUAGGUGGUCUCAUUUGUCGGGGGUGAAAGCCUUGGGCUUAACCCAAGAAGUGCCCCCGAAACGGUGAGACUCGAGUAUUGGAGAGGCAAGUGGAAUUCCGAGUGUAGAGGUGAAAUUCGUAGAUAUUCGGAAGAACACCAGUGGCGAAGGCGACUUACUGGACACAUAUUGACGCUGAGGUGCGAAAGCGUGGGGAGCAAACAGG